This 468-nucleotide ribosomal RNA is filed under the name uncultured bacterium. RNAcentral's name for it is "partial 16S ribosomal RNA". It matches the Rfam family "Bacterial small subunit ribosomal RNA", at positions 28 to 507 of the family's 1533-position model. The record is from RNAcentral.
GACGAACGCUGGCGGCGUGCUUAACACAUGCAAGUCGAACGGAAAGGCCCUGCUUUUGUGGGGUGCUCGAGUGGCGAACGGGUGAGUAACACGUGAGUAACCUGCCCUUGACUUUGGGAUAACUUCAGGAAACUGGGGCUAAUACCGGAUAGGAGCUCCUGCUGCAUGGUGGGGGUUGGAAAGUUUCGGCGGUUGGGGAUGGACUCGCGGCUUAUCAGCUUGUUGGUGGGGUAGUGGCUUACCAAGGCUUUGACGGGUAGCCGGCCUGAGAGGGUGAACGGCCACAUUGGGACUGAGAUACGGCCCAGACUCCUACGGGAGGUAGCAGUGGGGAAUAUUGCACAAUGGGCGGAAGCCUGAUGCAGCAACGCCGCGUGCGGGAUGACGGCCUUCGGGUUGUAAACCGCUUUCGCCUGUGACGAAGCGUGAGUGACGGUAAUGGGUAAAGAAGCACCGGCUAACUACGUG